This is a long non-coding RNA of Hemicordylus capensis (graceful crag lizard), 697 nucleotides long. RefSeq lists it as uncharacterized. The transcript has 3 exons. Lineage: Eukaryota; Metazoa; Chordata; Lepidosauria; Squamata; Cordylidae. The record is from RefSeq and is a predicted model, not a curated record.
CAAACGGCAGGCCUCGGUGUCGCGCUCUGUGUUACAUCCGCCGCGGCUCCGGCCGCCGCCGCGGUGUAGCAAGUCAAGGACCUUGCUUGCCGCUUGCUCACCCCCACUCCUGCCCCAUCUCAGUUGGUUAGCGACUCUGGGCCACACGGCAGGCCUCGGCGUUGCUCUGGUGGCGGCCGCCAUUAUGAUUAUUUUUUAAAGCCACGUUUUCUACUUCUAAAAUUCAAAAUUACUGAUGGACUCUGAAGAUAUCUUACUGCCACUGCUCACAGACUUCACACCACAGGCAAGAGCCAAAAACUGACAGUCCUUUGUCUUGCACCAAAAGCUCAAACCUCUGGCAAGACCCAAGGCAAAUAUACAUGUGGAGAGGGCAGAAACAAACACUCUCUCAGAUGCUGACCAGCUUGUACAAGGGUGUAAAGCUGAAGGUGUUAGAAAAGAAGAAGCAAAGCUAUAUGUGUGAGACUAGUUAGUCAAUGCAUCUGACUAAGGAAACCCUCUGCAAAUGGACAAACUGAGACUGAGACUGUUUCACCAGCUUGGCCUGCUAGACUGAGGGUGAAGUCCAAAAGGCGUACAGUGUGGCAGAAAUAACAGAAGCUGUAAUUAAUGCUAUUUAUUUAAUUGAGUUCCUCAGAGAAAGAGCGGGAUAUAAAUGUAAAAAUAAAUAAAAUAAAUAAAUAUUUCCCCUGCA